UACGUAGGUGGCGAGCGUUAUCCGGAUUUACUGGGCGUAAAGUGGGUGCAGACGGUUUUUCAAGUCGGGUGUAAAAUCUCUCAGCUUAACUGAGAGGGACCAUUCGAGACUGUUAGACUAGAGGACAACAGGGGGAGGUAGAAUUCCCGGUGUAGUGGUGGAAUGCGUAGAUAUCGGGAGGAAUACCAGUGGCGAAGGCGGCCUCCUGGGUUGUUUCUGACGUUCAUGCCCGAAGGUGUGGGGAGCGAACAGGAUUAGAUACCCUUGUA
This 269-nucleotide ribosomal RNA is filed under the name uncultured prokaryote. RNAcentral's name for it is "partial 16S ribosomal RNA". It matches the Rfam family "Bacterial small subunit ribosomal RNA", at positions 524 to 792 of the family's 1533-position model. The record is from RNAcentral.